GAACUUGCUAUUUGGGUGACAAAAUUACCUGAGGUGUUGGGUCAAAUUUCUACAUUUGACCACAACAAAACAAAUGGAGGGAGGGAGGAAAUUAGAGGCACUAUCCCUGUGAUUGGCUUUGAAAAUAUUCUUGCAAAUGGAGGGUCCAGGUGUUUGUUUUCUUUAGAUUGGAAAUCUGAUGAAAAGCUUAUAUUCAUUUCACACUUUUUGAAGUCAAAUAACAAGGAAAUGAAACUAUUGGAUCCAUUAGUCCUAGAGAUUGUUGACUAUUGCAUUAUCAAUGAUUCUUGUUUGGCUCCUAAUGAACUGUUGGUAUUUUUUCACCAAAAGCAUUUGAUUCAAAGGCAAGAAUUCUACACAUUAGGAGAGCCUUCUGAAAUCAUGAGCAGUAGUAUUUUGGAUUGCUAGGCAUUGCUUCUCAAUGAAAAUAAAAAAUAUUUAAAGGAUGGACCUUGGAAAUUGUACUUUGGUUCUUCAAUUAGUGUGAGUUGUUUAAUUAUUUCAAUGUUUAUACAUGUUUUUACUUUUUACUGUUUUUUUUAUUUGUUAAAAUAUUAUGUAGGUUACAAUAGUAGAAGUUGUCGGCAGUGAUGGCAAUUCACAAAUAAUGGACAAUGUUUAUCAAGGUUUGGAGGAGUGGAUGAAAAUAGCUUGAAAUGAUUUUGAUUUGUCAGAAGUUGAGCUGGUAAUAUUUUCUGUUUUUUUAUGCUUUAAAAAAUAUAGUUCCUUUUUUUUUAUGUUAUAGAUACCUUUUUUUAAAUGAGAGUGACUAUUGAAAAUUGCAUAAGUAUAUUUUUAAAAGAGGUCACUAUAAUAUCAAAAAUGGAAUCUAUAUGUGUUUUUUUUAUUCUGACUAAUUGUGGUAUUAUUGUUGCAGAUAUUUUUAACUUGUCUUUGGGGCAAUCACUAUUGCUUAUUUUUGGUGAUUUUGACUAAAGGAAAAAUUCAGUUUAUUAAUAAUCUGAAUUAUGAUGAGGAUAAUCGUAUCUUUUUGAAAAAGUUGUCUAGUCUCCUGUGUGAUAUGAUCAGUACCUACUUUGAUCAAAGGCUUAC
Chenopodium quinoa (quinoa) is the source of this 1053-nucleotide long non-coding RNA. RefSeq lists it as uncharacterized. The record is from RefSeq and is a predicted model, not a curated record. NCBI's taxonomy places the organism in Eukaryota, Viridiplantae, Streptophyta, Magnoliopsida, Caryophyllales, Amaranthaceae. The transcript has 3 exons.